GUGGGGAAUAUUGGGCAAUGGGCGCAAGCCUGACCCAGCAACGCCGCGUGAAGGAAGAAGGCUUUCGGGUUGUAAACUUCUUUUCUCAGGGACGAAGCAAGUGACGGUACCUGAGGAAUAAGCCACGGCUAACUACGUGCCAGCAGCCGCGGUAAUACGUAGGUGGCAAGCGUUAUCCGGAUUUACUGGGUGUAAAGGGCGUGUAGGCGGGAAAGCAAGUCAGAUGUGAAAACCAUGGGCUCAACCCAUGGCCUGCAUUUGAAACUGUUUUUCUUGAGUACUGGAGAGGCAGACGGAAUUCCUAGUGUAGCGGUGAAAUGCGUAGAUAUUAGGAGGAACACCAGUGGCGAAGGCGGUCUGCUGGACAGCAACUGACGCUGAGGCGCGAAAGCGUGGGGAGCAAACAGG
Molecule: ribosomal RNA, 408 nt
Filed under: uncultured bacterium
Lineage: Bacteria
Description: bacterial SSU rRNA
Rfam family: Bacterial small subunit ribosomal RNA
Source: RNAcentral